RNAcentral lists this ribosomal RNA (434 nucleotides) under uncultured bacterium. Its description in RNAcentral is "partial 16S ribosomal RNA". It matches the Rfam family "Bacterial small subunit ribosomal RNA", at positions 29 to 507 of the family's 1533-position model. The record is from RNAcentral.
AGCGAACGCUGGCGGCAGGCCUAACACAUGCAAGUCGAACGAACCUUUCGGGGUUAGUGGCGGACGGGUGAGUAACACGUGGGAACGUGCCUUUAGGUUCGGAAUAACUCAGGGAAACUUGUGCUAAUACCGAAUGUGCCCUUCGGGGGAAAGAUUUAUCGCCUUUAGAGCGGCCCGCGUCUGAUUAGCUAGUUGGUUGAGGUAAUGUCUCACCAAGGCGACGAUCAGUAGCUGGUCUGAGAGGAUGAUCAGCCACAUUGGGACUGAGACACGGCCCAAACUCCUACGGGAGGCAGCAGUGGGGAAUCUUGCGCAAUGGGCGAAAGCCUGACGCAGCCAUGCCGCGUGAAUGAUGAAGGUCUUAGGAUUGUAAAAUUCUUUCACCUGGGACGAUAAUGACGGUACCCGGAGAAGAAGCCCCGGCUAACUUCGUG